AUCUGAUUAGCAAUGGAGGGAUGCUUCCCAUGGGAAACAAAGUAGUGGUCAAAAUAUCUGCUAUGGUCCAUUCAGCCUGGGGAUUUGGCUGGCAUGCUCUGAAGAUCUCUCCCGAUAUAGGUGCCGAAGUUUCCCUCUUCGUGCAAAAAAAAAGGUUUCAGACAGUUUGACUCCAGACACCAUACUCGGAACACUGCUGGCCUGCUCCACAUGAUGACUACGUUGACUGUGAAGUGAAUUUGAAAAGUCAGACAGUAUCCUGAAAGCAAAUUCCCUGGAAUCGGUCAAAAUCAGGCAUGUGGGAAGAAGCAAGAUCUCACCCACAUCAUCUACUCAACAUUCCUGUCAGAGAAGCUUGUCACUGAGAAGACCUUCAUAGUGCUGAGCCACCUGCGACAUACUUUAUCCUUACCCAAACUUUGGUGCAAAUCUGAAAACUCACCUUCCAAAUUCAAGAAUAUAUUGUUGUCUAGGGAAAC
This 479-nucleotide long non-coding RNA is filed under the name Melopsittacus undulatus (budgerigar). RNAcentral describes it as "lncRNA (ENSMUNG00000021342.1)". Lineage: Eukaryota; Metazoa; Chordata; Aves; Psittaciformes; Psittaculidae. The record is from RNAcentral.